Molecule: ribosomal RNA, 253 nt
Filed under: uncultured bacterium
Lineage: Bacteria
Description: partial 16S ribosomal RNA
Rfam family: Bacterial small subunit ribosomal RNA
Source: RNAcentral
UACGUAGGGGGCAAGCGUUGUCCGGAAUCAUUGGGCGUAAAGAGCGUGUAGGCGGCCCGGUAAGUCCGCUGUGAAAGUCCAGGGCUCAACCCUGGGAUGCCGGUGGAUACUGUCGGGCUCGAGUCCGGAAGAGGAGUGUGGAAUUCCUGGUGUAGCGGUGAAAUGCGCAGAUAUCAGGAGGAACACCGACGGCGCAGGCAGCGCCCUGGUCGCUUGCUGACACUGAGGCACGAAAGCUGGGGGAGCAAACAGG